CCAGAUAUUUACUCCACAUGCUCCAUAGCAGAAUAAGUUAACCAAAGAGCACCACAUGUGUAAAAAAAGAAAAGAUUUUCUUAUCCUCAUGUACUCUGUAUCGUAGAUACCACGCAAAAUUUUGAUCUAUCCUUCUGGCUUCAACCACUUGAUGUGUACCUAAACUCGGACAUGAGUAAUUAACUAUUUUGUCAACGAGA
Molecule: long non-coding RNA, 200 nt
Organism: Xenia sp. Carnegie-2017
Lineage: Eukaryota; Metazoa; Cnidaria; Anthozoa; Malacalcyonacea; Xeniidae
Exons: 2
Source: RefSeq, a predicted model, not a curated record